This 370-nucleotide ribosomal RNA is filed under the name uncultured organism. RNAcentral's name for it is "bacterial SSU rRNA". It matches the Rfam family "Bacterial small subunit ribosomal RNA", at positions 526 to 897 of the family's 1533-position model. The record is from RNAcentral.
CGUAGGUGGCAAGCGUUGUCCGGAUUUAUUGGGUUUAAAGGGUGCGUAGGCGGCUUUGUAAGUCAGCGGUGAAAUACUCCAGCUCAACUGGAGAGGUGCCAUUGAUACUGCAGAGCUAGAGUACUGAUGAGGUAGGCGGAAUGGACGGUGUAGCGGUGAAAUGCUUAGAUAUCGUCCAGAACACCGAUAGCGAAGGCAGCUUACUAAAGAGUAACUGACGCUGAGGCACGAAAGUGUGGGGAUCAAACAGGAUUAGAUACCCUGGUAGUCCACACUGUAAACGUUGAUCACUAGAUGUUGGCGAGUACACUGCCAGCGUUCCAGCAAAAGCGAUAAGUGAUCCACCUGGGGAGUACGCCCGCAAGGGUGA